This 251-nucleotide ribosomal RNA is filed under the name uncultured prokaryote. Its description in RNAcentral is "partial 16S ribosomal RNA". It matches the Rfam family "Bacterial small subunit ribosomal RNA", at positions 524 to 774 of the family's 1533-position model. The record is from RNAcentral.
UACGGAGGGUGCAAGCGUUAUCAGGAUUUAUUGGGUUUAAAGGGUGCGCAGGUUGUUUGAUAAGUCAGUGGUGAAAGUCUGUCGCUUAACGGUAGGAUUGCCAUUGAUACUGUUAGACUUGAAUAUGGAUGAGGUAGGCGGAAUGUGUAGUACAGCGGUGAAAUGCAUAGAUAUUACACAGAACACCGAUUGCGAAGGCAGCUUACUAAUCCAUCAUUGACGCUGAGGCACGAAAGCGUGGGGAUCAAACA